RNAcentral lists this ribosomal RNA (497 nucleotides) under uncultured bacterium. Its description in RNAcentral is "partial 16S ribosomal RNA". It matches the Rfam family "Bacterial small subunit ribosomal RNA", at positions 28 to 507 of the family's 1533-position model. The record is from RNAcentral.
GAUGCCCGCUUUCUUCUUUCCUAAUACAUGCAAGUCGAGCGAACAGACGAGGAGCUUGCUCCUCUGACGUUAGCGGCGGACGGGUGAGUAACACGUGGAUAACCUACCUAUAAGACUGGGAUAACUUCGGGAAACCGGAGCUAAUACCGGAUAAUAUAUUGAACCGCAUGGUUCAAUAGUGAAAGACGGUUUUGCUGUCACUUAUAGAUGGAUCCGCGCCGCAUUAGCUAGUUGGUAAGGUAACGGCUUACCAAGGCAACGAUGCGUAGCCGACCUGAGAGGGUGAUCGGCCACACUGGAACCGAGACACGGUCCAGACUCCUACGGGAGGCAGCAGUAGGGAAUCUUCCGCAAUGGGCGAAAGCCUGACGGAGCAACGCCGCGUGAGUGAUGAAGGUCUUCGGAUCGUAAAACUCUGUUAUUAGGGAAGAACAAAUGUGUAAGUAACUAUGCACGUCUUGACGGUACCUAAUCAGAAAGCCACGGCUAACUACGUG